Molecule: ribosomal RNA, 429 nt
Filed under: bacterium
Lineage: Bacteria
Description: partial 16S ribosomal RNA
Rfam family: Bacterial small subunit ribosomal RNA
Source: RNAcentral
UAGGGAAUCUUCGGCAAUGGGGGCAACCCUGACCGAGCAACGCCGCGUGAGUGAAGAAGGUUUUCGGAUCGUAAAGCUCUGUUGUAAGAGAAGAACGUGUGUGAGAGUGGAAAGUUCACACAGUGACGGUAACUUACCAGAAAGGGACGGCUAACUACGUGCCAGCAGCCGCGGUAAUACGUAGGUCCCGAGCGUUGUCCGGAUUUAUUGGGCGUAAAGCGAGCGCAGGCGGUGUAAUAAGUCUGAAGUUAAAGGCAGUGGCUUAACAAAUUUUCGCUUUGGAAACUGUUCAACUUGAGUGCAGAAGGGGAGAGUGGAAUUCCAUGUGUAGCGGUGAAAUGCGUAGAUAUAUGGAGGAACACCGGUGGCGAAAGCGGCUCUCUGGUCUGUAACUGACGCUGAGGCUCGAAAGCGUGGGGAGCAAACAGG